CUAGUACGAGAGGACCGGGAAGGACGCACCUCUGGUGUACCAGUUAUCGUGCCUACGGUAAACGUUGGGUAGCCAAGUGCGGAGAGGAUAACUGCUGAAAGCAUAUAAGUAGUAAGCCCACCCCAAGAUGAGUGCUCUCUCCUCCGACUUCCCUAGAGCCUCCGGUAUCACAGCCGAGACAGCGACGGGUUCUCCACCCAU
RNAcentral lists this ribosomal RNA (201 nucleotides) under Triticum aestivum (bread wheat). Its description in RNAcentral is "partial small subunit ribosomal RNA". The stretch from base 1 to 137 matches the Rfam family "Bacterial large subunit ribosomal RNA", at positions 2678 to 2813 of the family's 2925-position model. Lineage: Eukaryota; Viridiplantae; Streptophyta; Magnoliopsida; Poales; Poaceae. The record is from RNAcentral.